RNAcentral lists this transfer RNA (76 nucleotides) under Escherichia coli. Its description in RNAcentral is "tRNA-Ala". It matches the Rfam family "tRNA". From Rfam's summary of the family: Transfer RNA (tRNA) molecules are approximately 80 nucleotides in length. Their secondary structure includes four short double-helical elements and three loops (D, anti-codon, and T loops). Further hydrogen bonds mediate the characteristic L-shaped molecular structure. tRNAs have two regions of fundamental functional importance: the anti-codon, which is responsible for specific mRNA codon recognition, and the 3' end, to which the tRNAs corresponding amino acid is attached (by aminoacyl-tRNA synthetases). tRNAs cope with the degeneracy of the genetic code in two manners: having more than one tRNA (with a specific anti-codon) for a particular amino acid; and 'wobble' base-pairing, i.e. permitting non-standard base-pairing at the 3rd anti-codon position. Lineage: Bacteria; Pseudomonadati; Pseudomonadota; Gammaproteobacteria; Enterobacterales; Enterobacteriaceae. The record is from RNAcentral. RNAcentral also lists the same sequence under 2 other names.
GGGGCUAUAGCUCAGCUGGAAGAGCGCCUGCUUUGCACGCAGGAGGUCUGCGGUUCGAUCCCGCAUAGCUCCACCA